Molecule: ribosomal RNA, 507 nt
Filed under: uncultured bacterium
Lineage: Bacteria
Description: partial 16S ribosomal RNA
Rfam family: Bacterial small subunit ribosomal RNA
Source: RNAcentral
GACGAACGCUGGCGGCGUGCCUAAUACAUGCAAGUCGAACGCAUUUUCUUUCACCGUAGCUUGCUACACCGAAAGAAAAUGAGUGGCGAACGGGUGAGUAACACGUGGGUAACCUGCCCAUCAGCGGGGGAUAACACUUGGAAACAGGUGCUAAUACCGCAUAAUUCCAUUUACCGCAUGGUAGAUGGAUGAAAGGCGCUUUUGCGUCACUGAUGGAUGGACCCGCGGUGCAUUAGCUAGUUGGUGGGGUAACGGCCUACCAAGGCUGCGAUGCAUAGCCGACCUGAGAGGGUGAUCGGCCACACUGGGACUGAGACACGGCCCAGACUCCUACGGGAGGCAGCAGUAGGGAAUCUUCGGCAAUGGACGCAAGUCUGACCGAGCAACGCCGCGGGAGUGAAGAAGGUUUUCGGAUCGUAAAACUCGGUUGUUAGAGAAGAACAAGGAUGAGAGUGGAAAGUUCAUCCCUUGACGGUAUCUAACCAGAAAGCCACGGCUAACUACGUG